UAAAAAUGAUGUUUAAGAAUAUAGAAAACUAUCAUCUAUACCUAAUUUGGAAUUAUUAAAUGAUACUUGAAUUCAGGAACAUGGUUUCAAAUGAACAAAAAACUUUCAUACUAAUCCCAGUAAUUAUUCUUCAAAUAUUCAUCAAUACAUGGAAUACUGUUCCAAAUUUUGCAAUGGAGGAAAAAAAACUUGGAGUUAUUUAAGAAACAGUAAGAUAUUAAAAAGAGUGGAGAUUUUAUGAUCUGGAUUAAUGAACUGAGAUGGCCUUCCUCAUCUGAGAUGAUCUUGUGAAAGGGAUGAAUCUUUAACUUGAUAACUAAAGUAGACUUCAGAGUAUUGCAUUCAAGAUGUGGAGGACAAGUAUUAUUUGGGUCUGGGAGAAAGAUAACCACUCGGAAAAGGAUCCUUUUAAAAUUAUCUUGCUGAAAUAACUCAGUUAAAUUAACGAAGGGGUUGGGCAAACAAAGAAGGGAGCCCAUCUUUCCUCUAUUUGGCACCAUAACAAAUUAAAGAACCUUGCUUGGGUCUGGUUUAAACAGUGAGUAAAAAUGAUAUUAGAACUUCAUGGAAGUACAUUCUAAUUAAAUAUGGGUCUCUUUGAAUCUGUGUAUGGAAGAAUAUUUUCCACUUUACACCAAUAUUAAAUUUGCUAUGUAAAUCUAAAGUCAAGACCUAAUUCUAGACUGGAACAAAGCAGAUUGAGAUUCCUGAAGGUGAUACUGGAAGGAAUCAAAUCUCUUUGCAAUGCCAGAUCUUUGUUUCACAAGAUAUUAACUUAAAUAUUUAGGUUCUCCUGAUCCGUUCUCUAGUUAUUUAUAUAUUUAAUCUGUUCAAAGAGAACUCAAUCCAGAUGUGUAUCCACUCAUUUUCAGAAAUUAAUCUAGGUGGUAUAAUUAGAAUUUCAACUAGAAAGGAACCACAGUAUUGAAAUCAAGAGUUUACGUGGCUGCAUUUUGAAGUAUAGUUGAUAAUCUCAAAUCUAUUGCAUCCUAAAAUUUUGGGAUGAAGAUCUUUGUUCCUUCCAUAGAAAAAUGCUGCAUACAAAUUGGAAGGGAAAAUGGAUGGCCAGUUUGGGCAAAAUGAAAAGAUGUCCCAGGAGUCUUACUAGAUUUGGAACUAAACAUGGUCAACCCGAACAUCAGUCAAAAAAAAUCAGUUGUAUGCUAAUUGCAAAAAUUGUAGAAUAUAAAUCAGAUUAACAAAUGUUCAAUGUUAUAAUAACUGUGUAGCAUCAUAGAAUCAGAAAAUGUUACUGCACUGAAGGAGGCAUUUCCAGUCCCAAUGCUGAAUAUGCAAUUUGAGUAUUCACGAACAUUUGAUUGCCAAGACAGAAAAGAGAUUUUCCAGCUCUGAAGACAGUCAGGAGGACAACUGGACUAGUAUCAUGGUCAGAGAGAUGUUGAAUGAUGGCAGCAAUUGGAUUUUUCAAACUGGAAAAGAGGAAUAAUAUUAAUUUUCUCCAUUAUGAACUGGAAUAGAUUCAAGUGUGGAAGGAAUACAUCUUAGCAACAUAAUGGACCUGGUUUAUUUCCAUGGAGACUUUUAUUUGGUAAAUUUUGUGGAUAAAGAAGAACUAUUAUGUUAUUCCUGACCAAUAUGUUUUACUGUUCACUGCUGUUGCCAUCUCAAGAUCUUUUUUAUUUUAAGAAAAGACACGCAAAAUGGAAUGUAUAUGUUACACUUUGAAUAAAUUGAUAAAUGGGAACCUUA
Chiloscyllium plagiosum (whitespotted bambooshark) is the source of this 1710-nucleotide non-coding RNA. Lineage: Eukaryota; Metazoa; Chordata; Chondrichthyes; Orectolobiformes; Hemiscylliidae. The record is from RefSeq and is a predicted model, not a curated record.